This 292-nucleotide ribosomal RNA is filed under the name uncultured bacterium. RNAcentral describes it as "partial 16S ribosomal RNA". It matches the Rfam family "Bacterial small subunit ribosomal RNA", at positions 505 to 796 of the family's 1533-position model. The record is from RNAcentral.
GUGCCAGCAGCCGCGGUAAUACGUAGGGGGCAAGCGUUGUCCGGAUUCAUUGGGCGUAAAGAGCGUGUAGGCGGCCAGGUAGGUCGGUUGUGAAAACUGGAGGCUCAACCUUCAGAGGUCGACCGAAACCAUCUGGCUAGAGUCCGGGAGAGGAGAGUGGAAUUCCUGGUGUAGCGGUGAAAUGCGCAGAUAUCAGGAAGAACACCCGUGGCGAAAGCGGCUCUCUGGAACGGUACUGACGCUGAGACGCGAAAGCGUGGGGAGCGAACAGGAUUAGAAACCCCCGUAGUCC